AACGAACGCUGGCGGCGGGCCUCAUACAUGCAAGUCGAGCGCGAAAGUCCGCAAGGAUGAGUAAAGCGGCGCACGGGUGAGUAACACGUGGAUAAUCUACCCUUUGGAUUGGAAUAACCUGUCGAAAGACGGGCUAAUGCCGAGUAAGCCUUUGAGAGCGUGAAGCUUUUAAAGGGAAAGAUGGCGCAAGCUAUCGCCGAUGGAUGAGUCUGCGUCCCAUUAGUUAGUUGGUGGGGUAAUGGCUUACCAA
RNAcentral lists this ribosomal RNA (250 nucleotides) under uncultured bacterium. RNAcentral describes it as "partial 16S ribosomal RNA". It matches the Rfam family "Bacterial small subunit ribosomal RNA", at positions 29 to 271 of the family's 1533-position model. The record is from RNAcentral.